AACGAACGCUGGCGGCAUGCCUAACACAUGCAAGUCGAACGAGACCUUCGGGUCUAGUGGCGCACGGGUGCGUAACGCGUGGGAACCUGCCCUUAGGUUCGGAAUAACUCCCCGAAAGGGGUGCUAAUACCGGAUAAUGUCUUCGGACCAAAGAUUUAUCGCCUUUGGAUGGGCCCGCGUUGGAUUAGCUAGUUGGUAGGGUAAAAGCCUACCAAGGCGACGAUCCAUAGCUGGUCUGAGAGGAUGAUCAGCCACACUGGGACUGAGACACGGCCCAGACUCCUACGGGAGGCAGCAGUGGGGAAUAUUGGACAAUGGGCGAAAGCCUGAUCAAGCAAUGCCGCGUGAGUGAUGAAGGCCUUAGGGUUGUAAAGCUCUUUUACCCGGGAUGAUAAUGACAGUACCGGGAGAAGAAGCUCCGGCUAACUCCGUG
Molecule: ribosomal RNA, 433 nt
Filed under: uncultured bacterium
Lineage: Bacteria
Description: partial 16S ribosomal RNA
Rfam family: Bacterial small subunit ribosomal RNA
Source: RNAcentral